Molecule: long non-coding RNA, 916 nt
Filed under: Olea europaea subsp. europaea
Lineage: Eukaryota; Viridiplantae; Streptophyta; Magnoliopsida; Lamiales; Oleaceae
Source: RNAcentral
CUCGAAUCGGUUGACUUGCGGCUUGACAGAAUGAGGUGGGCCUUUGUUUUUCCAUUUUUUUAAAAAAAUAUAUCAUUUGCAAUUUGAAAAUACUGUGAGUUAAACCAGCCCAAAACAUAUAACUUGUUUCACCCUCAAAUAACCUUAUUCAACUCGGAUUCUUCCUUCAUAUUGCAAAACCUAUCGACUCGUCUACUCCAACGAUGAUAGAGACACUGUCUUCUACAACGAAAUGCACGUUGUUGAAAUAUUCGACCAUUCCUUUUUUUCGGCAAGAAGUCUGGCCGCUUUUCGUUGAAUCAUAGAUGCCACAACCCAUCUUCUUCGACCAGAUCUGCAAAAACUCAGGUAUAUAUACAUAUAUGUGAAAGGCAAAGUAGAACCCAUCAAAAAAUAUUACAGCUUCGAAGGUGGAAUUGUAAGAGGUUUGGACGAAAUUUGUGUUGGCCAUGGCUAUGGGUUUUUAAAUUUUGAGCGUGCAAUGUUUAUGUAGUUUUGUGUUGUUCUUUCUGGGUCUUGGUUUUUAAAUCCAUGCUUUGAGAAAGACCCAUACCCAUUUCAUGAUUUGCUCACGAUAUGUUGCAAAAUCUUGUUCUUUCAAUAAUACUUUGGCGUUGGUUCGAUUAUGGCUGGGCGUGAAAAAUUACUCGAUAAUAAAUAAUUUUUAAAUUGAAUUGUAAUAUAUGGGAGAAAAAAUAAAAUGAGUGGUCUAAAAAAAAAAAAACCAGUUGAAACAUGGUUGGAGAGAAUUCGUUAGGAAAUUGUUUUGUAUGCUGCUAGUAUGAAUUGUUUUUAAGGUUAUUUGUUUUAUAUGUUGCUUAUAUGUCAACCAAUGUUAACUGCAAGAAUUAGAUGCAAACUCUGAAUAUUGUGUUCAAACUAGGUUAAAAGUAAAGUAUGGUGGUAUAAAUCAAUG